Molecule: ribosomal RNA, 2283 nt
Filed under: Salmonella enterica subsp. enterica serovar Typhimurium
Lineage: Bacteria; Pseudomonadati; Pseudomonadota; Gammaproteobacteria; Enterobacterales; Enterobacteriaceae
Description: partial 23S ribosomal RNA
Rfam family: Bacterial large subunit ribosomal RNA
Source: RNAcentral
AGGUUAACCGAAUAGGGGAGCCGGAGGGAAACCGAGUCUUAAUUGGGCGUUAAGUUGCAGGGUAUAGACCCGAAACCCGGUGAUCUAGCCAUGGGCAGGUUGAAGGUUGGGUAACACUAACUGGAGGACCGAACCGACUAAUGUUGAAAAAUUAGCGGAUGAUCUGUGGCUGGGGGUGAAAGGCCAAUCAAACCGGGAGAUAGCUGGUUCUCCCCGAAAGCUAUUUAGGUAGCGCCUCGUGAAUUCAUCUCCGGGGGUAGAGCACUGUUUCGGCUAGGGGGCCAUCCCGGCUUACCAACCCGAUGCAAACUGCGAAUACCGGAGAAUGUUAUCACGGGAGACACACGGCGGGUGCUAACGUCCGUCGUGAAGAGGGAAACAACCCAGACCGCCAGCUAAGGUCCCAAAGUCAUGGUUAAGUGGGAAACGAUGUGGGAAGGCCCAGACAGCCAGGAUGUUGGCUUAGAAGCAGCCAUCAUUUAAAGAAAGCGUAAUAGCUCACUGGUCGAGUCGGCCUGCGCGGAAGAUGUAACGGGGCUAAACCAUGCACCGAAGCUGCGGCAGCGAACGUAUCACCCAAGACAACUUUACGGAGUUGACGAUUGACGGAGCGAAGCGACGUCAAAGCGUUCAUUAAAGUCGAGUUGGCUUAGGGAUACGUUCGUUGGGUAGGGGAGCGUUCUGUAAGCCUGUGAAGGUGUGUCGUGAGGCAUGCUGGAGGUAUCAGAAGUGCGAAUGCUGACAUAAGUAACGAUAAAGCGGGUGAAAAGCCCGCUCGCCGGAAGACCAAGGGUUCCUGUCCAACGUUAAUCGGGGCAGGGUGAGUCGACCCCUAAGGCGAGGCCGAAAGGCGUAGUCGAUGGGAAACGGGUUAAUAUUCCCGUACUUGGUGUUACUGCGAAGGGGGGACGGAGAAGGCUAUGUUGGCCGGGCGACGGUUGUCCCGGUUUAAGCGUGUAGGUGUGUGUUCCAGGUAAAUCCGGUUCACUUUAACACUGAGGCGUGACGACGAGGCACUACGGUGCUGAAGCAACAAAUGCCCUGCUUCCAGGAAAAGCCUCUAAGCAUCAGGUAACAUCAAAUCGUACCCCAAACCGACACAGGUGGUCAGGUAGAGAAUACCAAGGCGCUUGAGAGAACUCGGGUGAAGGAACUAGGCAAAAUGGUGCCGUAACUUCGGGAGAAGGCACGCUGACACGUAGGUGAAGUGAUUUACUCAUGGAGCUGAAGUCAGUCGAAGAUACCAGCUGGCUGCAACUGUUUAUUAAAAACACAGCACUGUGCAAACACGAAAGUGGACGUAUACGGUGUGACGCCUGCCCGGUGCCGGAAGGUUAAUUGAUGGGGUCAGCGCAAGCGAAGCUCCUGAUCGAAGCCCCGGUAAACGGCGGCCGUAACUAUAACGGUCCUAAGGUAGCGAAAUUCCUUGUCGGGUAAGUUCCGACCUGCACGAAUGGCGUAAUGAUGGCCAGGCUGUCUCCACCCGAGACUCAGUGAAAUUGAACUCGCUGUGAAGAUGCAGUGUACCCGCGGCAAGACGGAAAGACCCCGUGAACCUUUACUAUAGCUUGACACUGAACAUUGAGCCUUGAUGUGUAGGAUAGGUGGGAGGCUUUGAAGUGUGGACGCCAGUCUGCAUGGAGCCGACCUUGAAAUACCACCCUUUAAUGUUUGAUGUUCUAACGUGGACCCGUAAUCCGGGUUGCGGACAGUGUCUGGUGGGUAGUUUGACUGGGGCGGUCUCCUCCUAAAGAGUAACGGAGGAGCACGAAGGUUGGCUAAUCCUGGUCGGACAUCAGGAGGUUAGUGCAAUGGCAUAAGCCAGCUUGACUGCGAGCGUGACGGCGCGAGCAGGUGCGAAAGCAGGUCAUAGUGAUCCGGUGGUUCUGAAUGGAAGGGCCAUCGCUCAACGGAUAAAAGGUACUCCGGGGAUAACAGGCUGAUACCGCCCAAGAGUUCAUAUCGACGGCGGUGUUUGGCACCUCGAUGUCGGCUCAUCACAUCCUGGGGCUGAAGUAGGUCCCAAGGGUAUGGCUGUUCGCCAUUUAAAGUGGUACGCGAGCUGGGUUUAGAACGUCGUGAGACAGUUCGGUCCCUAUCUGCCGUGGGCGCUGGAGAACUGAGGGGGGCUGCUCCUAGUACGAGAGGACCGGAGUGGACGCAUCACUGGUGUUCGGGUUGUCAUGCCAAUGGCACUGCCCGGUAGCUAAAUGCGGAAGAGAUAAGUGCUGAAAGCAUCUAAGCACGAAACUUGCCCCGAGAUGAGUUCUCCCUGAGACUUAG